CCGACCCGAUGUUUAUUGACAUCGACGUCGGGAGGGGGAGAGAGAAAGAGAGUCCACGCCAACGAAUCGCCGAGACGUAACGAAUCGAAUCUCUGUGUGUUCUCCUCCGACGGACGGGUGGUGGCGAUUGUUCGGAGGAAGUGAUGAUAACGAGAUCGAAUCUAGCGGAACAGCUCAGAGAAUAUCAGAUUAGGUCAAAGCAUGAUUGGGCCUCCGUAUCCUUCUUCUCUUCCGCCUCCAAUUUCUCGUCCUCAAGGGUCGAUGUGGUAGUCUUUGUCAUUUGGGAGCUAGUGAUCUUAGCAUUCCUCGUGUUCUCAGCAGUCUCCCUCUACUUCAAGCGGUUGGAACUCGCAUUCAUCCUCGUUUGCGUCACUUUACUAUUACUCCUCUGCAUGAAAAUCACAAAGCAAGUGAGAGUUGCUAGGAAGAAGAAGCGGAGGAUGCUUCUUCCUCUCUCUAUGUAAAACCCACCAGCAAAAAUCGUUAACCCGAACUGUCCCCUGCUGGCAUGAACCCCAUCAUUAAGCAUCGAUGACAGUUGAGAUCAGACUUGUCUCUGAAUCGUUUGCAGGAUUUCACGUGAAGUAGGAGAAAACAAAGAACACUCAUGAAAGUUAAAGAGAGAACUACACAGAAAAUGAAAGUACCAAGCAACUUGCUCUAAAGAGCUCACAUGUUUCUAUCCACCACCACUAACAUCUUUCCUUUCCCCUCUGUAAGCCGGUUCCAAGUGUGGUUAAGUUAAGUAUCUUGAAUUAUACUUAGUGUUACGGUCUGUUAAUACACUAGUUUUGCUGGA
Raphanus sativus (radish) is the source of this 799-nucleotide RNA transcript. RefSeq lists it as uncharacterized. The transcript is spliced from 3 exons. NCBI's taxonomy places the organism in Eukaryota, Viridiplantae, Streptophyta, Magnoliopsida, Brassicales, Brassicaceae. The record is from RefSeq and is a predicted model, not a curated record.